GAGGAAUAUUGGACAAUGGGCGAAAGCCUGAUCCAGCCAUGCCGCGUGAGUGAUGAAGGCCUUAGGGUUGUAAAGCUCUUUCGAUGGUGAAGAUAAUGACGGUAACCAUAGAAGAAGCCCCGGCUAACUUCGUGCCAGCAGCCGCGGUAAUACGAAGGGGGCUAGCGUUGUUCGGAAUCACUGGGCGUAAAGCGCACGUAGGCGGAUAUGUAAGUCAGAGGUGAAAGCCCAGGGCCUAACCUUGGAACUGCCUUUGAAACUACAUCUCUAGAGACUCGGAGGGGAUAGCGGAAUUCCAAAUGUAGGGGUGAAAUCCGUAGAUAUUUGGAGGAACACCGGUGGCGAAGGCGGCUAUCUGGACGAGUACUGACGCUGAGGUGCGAAAGCGUGGGGAGCAAAC
Molecule: ribosomal RNA, 400 nt
Filed under: uncultured bacterium
Lineage: Bacteria
Description: bacterial SSU rRNA
Rfam family: Bacterial small subunit ribosomal RNA
Source: RNAcentral